RNAcentral lists this ribosomal RNA (486 nucleotides) under uncultured bacterium. RNAcentral describes it as "partial 16S ribosomal RNA". It matches the Rfam family "Bacterial small subunit ribosomal RNA", at positions 30 to 507 of the family's 1533-position model. The record is from RNAcentral.
AUUGAACGCUGGCGGCAUGCCUUACACAUGCAAGUCGAACGGCAGCACGGGUGCUUGCACCUGGUGGCGAGCGGCGAACGGGUGAGUAAUACAUCGGAACAUGUCCUGUAGUGGGGGAUAGCCCGGCGAAAGCCGGAUUAAUACCGCAUACGAUCUACGGAUGAAAGCGGGGGACCUUCGGGCCUCGCGCUAUCGGGUUGGCCGAUGGCUGAUUAGCUAGUUGGUGGGGUAAAGGCCUACCAAGGCGACGAUCAGUAGCUGGUCUGAGAGGACGACCAGCCACACUGGGACUGAGACACGGCCCAGACUCCUACGGGAGGCAGCAGUGGGGAAUUUUGGACAAUGGGCGAAAGCCUGAUCCAGCAAUGCCGCGUGUGUGAAGAAGGCCUUCGGGUUGUAAAGCACUUUUGUCCGGAAAGAAAUCCUUGGCCCUAAUACGGUCGGGGGAUGACGGUACCGGAAGAAUAAGCACCGGCUAACUACGUG